ACGGCUCAGUAACACGUGGAUAACCUGCCCAAGGGUCUGGGAUAACCCCGGGAAACUGGGGAUAAUACCGGAUAGAUCACCUAUGCUGGAAGGGCUUGGUGGUUUAAAGGUAACGCCUUUGGAUGGGUCUGCGGCGGAUUAGGUUGACGCCGGUGUAAUGUACCGGCGUGCCUGUAAUCCGUACGGGUUGUGGGAGCAAGAGCCCGGAGAUGGAUUCUGAGACACGAACCCAGGCCCUACGGGGCGCAGCAGGCGCGAAAACUCUACAAUGCAGGAGACUGCGAUAGGGGGACAUCGAGUGGCAUCCACCUUGGGUGCCUGUCCAACCGUCUAAAAAACGGUUGUUAGCAAGGGCCGGGUAAGACCGGUGCCAGCCGCCGCGGUAAUACCGGCGGCUCGAGUGGUGGCCGAUAUUAUUGAGUCUAAAGGGUCCGUAGCCGGCUUUGCAAGUCCCCUGGGAAAUCCAGCGGCUUAACCGUUGGGCUUUCAUGGGAUACUACAUUGCUUGGGACUGGGAGAGGUAGGAGGUACUCGGGGGGUAGGGGUGAAAUCCUGUAAUCCUCCGGGGACCACCGGUGGCGAAGGCGUCCUACCAGAACAGGUCCGACGGUGAGGGACGAAAGCUAGGGGCACGAACCGGAUUAGAUACCCGGGUAGUCCUAGCCGUAAACGAUGCCCGCUAGGUGUCACGACAGUCGUGAAUUGUCGUGGUGCCGUAGGGAAGCCGCGAAGCGGGCCACUUGGGAAGUACGACCGCAAGGUUGAAACUUAAGGGAAUUGGCGGGGGAGCAC
Molecule: ribosomal RNA, 792 nt
Filed under: uncultured archaeon
Lineage: Archaea
Description: bacterial SSU rRNA
Rfam family: Archaeal small subunit ribosomal RNA
Source: RNAcentral